RNAcentral lists this ribosomal RNA (804 nucleotides) under Occidozyga lima. Its description in RNAcentral is "partial large subunit ribosomal RNA". It matches the Rfam family "Bacterial large subunit ribosomal RNA", at positions 1532 to 2569 of the family's 2925-position model. Lineage: Eukaryota; Metazoa; Chordata; Amphibia; Anura; Dicroglossidae. The record is from RNAcentral.
UUGUUUAACUAUUAUGAACCCGUCAUCAUUAUUGAAUAGUUUCAUAAAUUAUGAAAGUUACCAUGCUAGAACUAGUAACAAGAAAAUGAAUUUCUCCAUAUUGUAAGCUUACACCAAAAUGGACUCCCCAUUGGUACUUAACGUUAAUGAUCCUAAUAUUUCAACAACUCAAGAAAACUAAAUAGCUUAAAUCGUUAACCUUACACUAGAACACUCCUGGAAAGAUUAAAAGGAAGAGAAGGAACUCGGCAAUAUCUAGUCCCGCCUGUUUACCAAAAACAUCGCCUCUUGCACCCACCCAUAAGAGGUCCCGCCUGCCCAGUGAUUAAUUUAACGGCCGCGUGAUUUUAAACGCGCAAAGGUAGCGAAAUCAUUUGUUCUUUAAAUGAGGACCAGUAUCAACGGCAUCACGAGGACUCAACUGUCUCCUCUCCCAAAUCAGUGAAACUAAUCUCCCUGUGAAAAAGCAGGAAUAACAAUAUAAGACGAGAAGACCCCAUGGAGCUUUAAACUUUAAGCAACUUUUAAUACUACAUUCCUUAAAAUAUUCUAGCUAUGCCCAAUAGUUUUAGGUUGGGGCGACCGCGGAGUAAAACUUAGCCUCCAUGACAAAAGGACAUUUCCUAAUCCAAGAAAGACAUUUCUAAGAAUCACUAACCUGAUGUUUCAUGACCCGACUAUCGAUCAACGAACCAAGUUACCCUGGGGAUAACAGCGCAAUCCAUUUUGAAAGCUCCUAUCGACAAAUGGGUUUACGACCUCGAUGUUGGAUCAGGAUACCCAGGUGGUGCAGCCGCUACUAAA